GCCGCUAUGGUGGAAUUCGUAGACACGCUGCUCUUAGGAAGCAGUGCUAAUGCAUCUUGGUUCGAGUCCGAGUGGCGGCU
Non-coding RNA from Solanum lycopersicum (tomato), 80 nucleotides. The record is from Rfam. Lineage: Eukaryota; Viridiplantae; Streptophyta; Magnoliopsida; Solanales; Solanaceae.